RNAcentral lists this long non-coding RNA (274 nucleotides) under Homo sapiens (human). Its description in RNAcentral is "non-protein coding lnc-STAT1-3:1". The record is from RNAcentral. Lineage: Eukaryota; Metazoa; Chordata; Mammalia; Primates; Hominidae.
GGGGCUUAGCACUGAUUUUGGUUCUGACAAGCUGGCCACUCAGAGACAGCAGUAGCUAUGUCUGUCUCAGUAUGUGGUAGACCAUGCUGUUGGGCCCAUAUAUAUAUAGCCUCCAUGCCUGCCACUGGGGCUACUUCAUUCACGUACCCACUGUGUCAGUUCUGGGAUGACUAAAAUCAACUGGGUCAUCAUGAGUGAAGUCUUGAGCCACUGAGCCACUACCACCUUGUGCCAAAUACUAUCUGUGCCCUGCCUGCCAACCAGGAUGACAACC